UAUUUUCUUCCAACCUGUAAAAUUUAACAAUUAUUUGCCAAUUUUGAUAUUUAUUUUUUGUUGCUAAUUGUCCAACUAUGAUAAAUCUAAGAAUUAAAUAUUUCAAUAAUCAAAAAUCCAUAGAAUACUCAAGACAUACUAAUCUACCAUAAAUAAUACACUAAUCUUAGAUAAAAUAUUCUUGGCUAAAUCUCCAACGGAAUAUUUACCUGUAAUGGUAAUAUCUAACAAGUCGUAGAAAAUCUUGCUUCAGAUGCCACUAGAUGAGUAUUACUACAUAGUGCAAAUUUGACAAAUCUCGACUAGUCAAAUUCACAGUAAUUCAAAAUUUGAUUUUAUAAAUUAUUGGCUUUCAUUUUUUUUGAAUUGCAAGUAAAGAUAUGUUUCGCAUUCGUAAGCUUUGUUAGCAGUAUUAACGAGAUCCUUGCCAUAUGAGUGCUUUCUGAAAAGAUGAAUUCUUUCACAAAGUGAUGAGGUAAAACAUUCCAAGCAUGAAACAUCUCCAUUAGAGCAGAGAUCUUUACAGGUAGAGACUCUAUCGGAACAACUUUGGAGAUACGAGUUUUCUGUAAAUCUCAUCAUAAUAUUGAAUAUCAUUUUCUCCAUUAAAUUGACUAGAUCAUCAGUAGUACAUUCUCUAGGAUUGGGGAGGUAAUUACUAGUAGGAGCGCAUACAAUUUGUUUUGGAAUAUAAUCUCUCUUCUGGCAAACCAACAUCGCGGCGCUCAAGUCUGAAAUGUAUCCCAAUCUGGUACUAAUGACUUCUUGGUGCGAGGCUAAAGCAUCCUUAAGUUGUAGGAUUUCUUCUGUUUCAGGUUGAUUGGUCUCACUUUCUUUAUUUAUUAACUUUGUGAGAAGCAAUGACUUUGCGUAUAAGGCAUCAUUUUUACCUUGCAAAUUGACUAAUAAAGAACCAGCCCCUCUGACUAAUUCUUUGGAGCACUUUCUAUCAACAUCAAGCCCAUUAACUACUGAAACAACUUCAUUCUUAUAUUGCUCGUCCAAUUUAAUAGUUCUAUCCAACUCUAAAAGGAGCUCCUUUGUAUCUCUAGUAACUCUGACAUUGUAAACUGCCAAUUCAGAAGACAACUUUGAAAUUUGCUCCAUUUCACUAGCAAUCAAAGAAUCCAAAUUAUCAUCAAGACCUAUAACUGAAGAAGAGUAACCAUGAGUAAAACUAUCUGGAUGGCUGAAUCUCAUUUGUGAUGCCUUAGUUAAGACAUCUAAUUGCAUUGUGGCCAAGUGAGUCCCUGCUUUAGGCUUGCAAGUGUCAUCUACCAGAGCUGAUUCCUCUAAGGGUGACUUCUCAGCAAAAGUACCAUAUCCCUUCUUUGCUUUACCUAAUUUCUUUUCCUCAGCCUGUUUCAACUUCCUCAAUUUCUUUUCUUCCUCCUUUUGCUGUUUUUCUCUCAACUUCUCCUCCUUUUCCCUCUGUUUUCUUGCUUCCUUUUCAGCCUUAGUUUCCUUUUGUUUCUUUUCCUUCUUUGGUUUUUUCUCUUUCUUAGCCUUUUUAUCCUCUACAACAACAGUUCCUUGCUCAGCAACAGCAACUUCUUGCUCAGCAGCAGCAACUUCUUCCUCAUCAGUAGCACCCUCCUGAGUCUUCACCUUCUUCUCUUUCUUGGCCUUUUUCUCUUUCUUGGCCUUUUUCUCUUUCUUGGCUUUCUUAUCUUUGUCCUUCUUGCCCUCGGCCUCCUCUACAGGUCCUUCCUGAGCUCCUUCCUGAGCUCCUUCCUGAGCUCCUUCCUGAGCUCCUUCCUGAGCUCCUUCCUUAACUCCCUCCUGAGCUCCUUCCUCCCCGGCCUUUGAUUCCUUCACCUUUUUACCCUUCUUGGCUUUCUUCUCCUUCUUCUCCUUCUUUUGUUUCUUUUGUUUCUUAUUCUUCUUGCCCUUCUCAGCUUUCUUAUCUGGCUCACCUGAAUCUACUGUUGAAUCACUAGUAGAUGAAACAUGUGGCUCAAUAGAAGGGUCAACAGAAGUUUGCA
RNAcentral lists this non-coding RNA (1985 nucleotides) under Cryptosporidium parvum. The record is from RNAcentral. Lineage: Eukaryota; Apicomplexa; Conoidasida; Eucoccidiorida; Cryptosporidiidae.